Molecule: long non-coding RNA, 857 nt
Organism: Ricinus communis (castor bean)
Lineage: Eukaryota; Viridiplantae; Streptophyta; Magnoliopsida; Malpighiales; Euphorbiaceae
Exons: 2
Source: RefSeq, a predicted model, not a curated record
CCCAACGAAACAAAGAUCAUUAUUCAUUAGAAUCUAUUUCUGAUUGGCAGGGAACUUUUAGGCUUACUGGAGGGUUUUCCUUCAUUGCUAUUAUUACUUUUACCUAACCCAGUACUUGCCGAUUGUAGCUACCCUAUUUUCCAUAUUUCUAUAUGAUGAGGAACUAACCCACAGUCACACACACACACACAUAUAUAUAUAUAUAUACAGUGACCGAGCGGGUAAUGAAUUAGUAAAGGAGAGGAAAUUUUGAAAGAGCAAAUGUACGCUGCUAAAAUUAGAAAGAGAGGAUUCCCUUUUGUGUUGUUGGCAAUUUUAACAGUAUGCAGCACCACAUUUUAUUGCAAAGCUUCGACUCCUGAUCAUAAGAGCAAGAGCAACAAAACGUUCCGGUGUGAACAUGGCCACCUCGACGAGUGCCUCAUUGCCAGCGAUAUGGAGUUGGAGUUAGUGAUGGAUUCCUACAUCACCAGAAUUCUUGGUGGAUGAGAAGAUAUUACGCUUGAAUCAAAACUACAGUGGUUAGUAUGAGAGAUGCUUUUGGUUGUUAAUUUAAUGAUGUCUGCAAAUCUAUGUGAUAUUGAUCAGUUCGAAGCCAAACAGUUUAUGAAUGCUGAACUUUCCUUCUCUUGUCUUCUUAAUGGGUUCUAUCCAAGCGUUAUUGUAUCCAAGAGUUCUUCUUUCUCGUGUUUUUCUUAAAAAUUAACCCUUCCAUGCUCAAGGAAAAAAGAAACAGACGGAGGAAAAGCUUAGCUUAUGCUUCCCUCGAUAAUUAUUUGGUGCCAAACUAUGUAUAAGGGGUUUUUUCUUUUAUUUUUUUUUUUUUUGUUUUACAUAUGUAUAUGCGGAUUUCUUUA